AUGAGGAUCCAACGUCCCAGAUGCGCCCGCACCCCCUUCUCUCUCUCGCGCUCGCAGCUCGCCGCAAUCAUCGCGCGUGUCGCUCCUCAUCCCCUCCCGCACCCCCCCUCUCUCUCUCUUUCGAUCGCCGCAAUCGCCGCGCCUCCUCCGCAGAAAUCGCCGCGCCUCCCCGUCACGUCGCCGCGCCUCCCCUCCGCGCCGAUCCGGUCUCCGCCCUCCGCCAUCGGCAUCAACGUCAUCUACCGGUCGGAGCCGCGCGCAAUCACCGCGCCUCCUCCGCAUCGCCGCGAGUGCGCGUCAGGCGCCUGCCCGCCGCAUCGCCGUGCCUCCUCCGCAUCCCUCCCCUCCGCGCAUCCUCCACCCGGAUCCCUCGCCUCCGCCUGCGAGGAGGAACGCUUCGCCGGGCGCCUCUCCUCGCCUUUUGCAGAGUAUUUUAAAGACAAAUGGUGUAGCUCGCCAGGGACUGCAUUUGCGUCACUCGUCCGCGCCGCCAUAACUCCAUCGACAAGCCUCGCCGAUCUGCGACGCCGACGAGCCGUGGGCUCCUGCAUCGACGCACUGCCACCGCCUCCACCUCGAGCGUCAACGCCGCCAAGAGGUACAAAAACCCUGCUCCACCACCCCUCCAGCUUCUACCUGAUCCCCAUCCCUGACCAUAAAUGUGAUGUAAAAUCCCCUCGACAAGCUGCUUCAGCGACCGGUAUCCUCGGUCUCCGCCUCAACCGCCGCCGCCGCCACCACCGGAUCCCUGCAUCGUCGAUUCUACUGCACACCUGCGAGCAUAGCAGUGGAUGUGAGGGUGUCGUGGUCCUGCUACAACCCUAACAAGUGAAACUAGCCGUUGGAGUGCUUCUUUAAGUAGACAAGG
This 868-nucleotide long non-coding RNA is filed under the name Oryza sativa Indica Group (long-grained rice). RNAcentral describes it as "lncRNA OsLiXu_07g0013340". The record is from RNAcentral. Lineage: Eukaryota; Viridiplantae; Streptophyta; Magnoliopsida; Poales; Poaceae.